GUCAAACUCACCUCUUUUAAAAAUGAAAGAGGUUUCAACGCUAUAGAUUCUAGAGAAAACCUACACAUCAAAUGCUCUAAUGUUUUGUAAGUGGAGAAACACAUGUUACAUUACAGAACAAGCUGGGAGGCUGGUAAUAAUGUAAGAUAUGACAAAAGAUGUAAGAAAGUAGAUAUAUCACUCCUUGUCUUCAAUGACUCUAUAUCAGCUUGUGAGAUAUUGCAAAAAGACACAAAUAUCACACGACUUGUAUGUAAAGCAGUCUGUAAUCAAUCUGGUUCUUUAACAUAAUUAGUCAGUAGUAAAGUGCAG
Pelobates cultripes (western spadefoot toad) is the source of this 312-nucleotide non-coding RNA. Lineage: Eukaryota; Metazoa; Chordata; Amphibia; Anura; Pelobatidae. The record is from the annotation of a GenBank genome assembly.